UACGUAGGCAGCAAGCGUUGUUCGGAGUUACUGGGCGUAAAGGGUGCGUAGGCGGUUGUUUAAGUUUGGUGUGAAAUCUCCCGGCUCAACCGGGAGGGUGCGCCGAAUACUGAAUGACUAGAGUGCGGGAGAGGAGGGUGGAAUUCCUGGUGUAGCGGUGAAAUGCGUAGAUAUCAGGAGGAACACCGGUGGUGUAGACGGCUCUCUGGACCGUAACUGACGCUGAGGCACGAAAGCGUGGGUAGCAAACAGG
RNAcentral lists this ribosomal RNA (253 nucleotides) under uncultured bacterium. Its description in RNAcentral is "partial 16S ribosomal RNA". It matches the Rfam family "Bacterial small subunit ribosomal RNA", at positions 524 to 776 of the family's 1533-position model. The record is from RNAcentral.